RNAcentral lists this long non-coding RNA (217 nucleotides) under Gossypium barbadense (sea-island cotton). RNAcentral describes it as "long non-coding RNA (GBAR_LNC018056)". The record is from RNAcentral. Lineage: Eukaryota; Viridiplantae; Streptophyta; Magnoliopsida; Malvales; Malvaceae.
GGUGAGUAAAUUAGAUUGUUUGCAUGGUAAUCUGAAUCUGUCCAUUCACAUGCGUUAUACCUGUUCUGUUAUGCUUAUGAUUGGACUACAAGCUUGUUUCCGUUGCUAUUUACUAUCUCAUGGCUAUUCUUUUCAGUGGACUCAAUUGCCAUUAGUCCCGUUCGAUAGAGGAAAGUCGAGUUCAUUUGAUUUUUCAGAUUCGAGGACGAAUCUUUUU